Molecule: ribosomal RNA, 196 nt
Filed under: uncultured Lactococcus sp.
Lineage: Bacteria; Bacillati; Bacillota; Bacilli; Lactobacillales; Streptococcaceae
Description: partial 16S ribosomal RNA
Rfam family: Bacterial small subunit ribosomal RNA
Source: RNAcentral
CCUACGGGAGGCAGCAGUAGGGAAUCUUCGGCAAUGGACGAAAGUCUGACCGAGCAACGCCGCGUGAGUGAAGAAGGUUUUCGGAUCGUAAAACUCUGUUGGUAGAGAAGAACGUUGGUGAGAGUGGAAAGCUCAUCAAGUGACGGUAACUACCCAGAAAGGGACGGCUAACUACGUGCCAGCAGCCGCGGUAAUA